GCUUAGGCCAUACCACCCUGAACAGCGCCCGAUCUCGUCCGAUCUCGGAAGCUAAGCAGGGUCGGGCCUGGUUAGUACUUGGAUGGGAGACCGCCUGGGAAUACCAGGUGCUGUAAGCU
Molecule: ribosomal RNA, 119 nt
Filed under: Labrus bergylta (ballan wrasse)
Lineage: Eukaryota; Metazoa; Chordata; Actinopteri; Labriformes; Labridae
Source: RNAcentral